ACCCCACGGUAUCAAGUACAGUAUAUCAAAUACCCAGUAACGUGCUAUAAACAUGUAUCAUGCAGUUCGUCGUCAAACGCUAUGUACGUGGAGAGCGGGCGCGCCGGUGCUUGCGUAAAGCGCCUUGGACCAGGCUGACAUUUCCUCCACAGCCUCUUACCUGGCCUUCACAGGCUGCGAUCUUUUGUUUUUUGAAAUGCAGUAAUCAAGAUACAACAUUGAAACUCCCUUUGACGAUGUCUCUGAUUCCUGACCUGAGGUCAGAUGGGGUUCAAUGAGGUCGGGUGCUUGCAGGUUAAGUACCAAGUGUAGUAUAAAGCAGGGCAUGUUUUCUUCUUGAAGAUGAUAAGCAGUGAUGUCCUGCAAAUUUCACUGAGCUGACUGUGAUACCUGACCAGGACAAUAUGGGGUUAUGCAAACGAUUUGCUUUUUCUUGUGGAGAGGUGAAUUCAACCGAACCUGAUUGGAUGAGUUCUGGAGGAUACAGAGAGUGGUAACUACAACCAGGCCUGCAGUUUGGAUGAGUAUUGUUUGAGGGUACAGGGAAUGCUUUCUCUUGUGGCGAGGUGGAUACAACCGGGCCUGUUUCGAUGAGCUUGGAGGAUACAGACAACUGGACCUGCAACCAGUUCAGCUGCCUUGUGUGGAGUGGUGAAUACAAGGGGAUCUGUUUGGAUGAGCACUGGUCUUUCUCUACGGUUGGAGGGGACAGAGAGUGGUGAAUGCAACCGGACCUGGACUGGAAAGAUGAAAAUGGAGAUGACAUGCACCAAAUGCUGAGGCUGAACAACGUUUUUCGGACUGUGUGCCACCAAUUCAAGAACUGUAUCAAGUUUAGUCAGAUGACUUUCGGCUACAAGCUCAACCAUUCAAGUGGUCGACAUGAAAUUCCAAGUACAGUUUUAUUUGUAUGAUCGGUGAUCGUCAGAGUAGCUAGGAAUAUAACUCUAAAGAAGUUACAGCUUUUAUAAACAGUAACAAUCGGACAAUCAAUUCAGGCUGUCAAAUCAGCCUGCACUUAAAUAAUGAAAUUCUGAAUUUAAGAAGCAUUGACUUUUAACAAGAUUGCCAUCAGUUACUGUUUUGUGAGUUCUGCGAGACUUUAUCGAUCUGUGUGAGUUCUACUCUUCCUCUGUGCGAGUACGACUCUUCAUCUGUGUGAGUUCUACCCUUCAUCUGUGUGAGUUCUACAUUUCAUCUGUCCGAGUUCAACUUUUCAUCUGUGCGAGUUCUACUCUUAAUCUGUGCGAGUUCUACUCUUAAUCUGUGCGAGUUCUACUCUUAAUCUAUGCGAGUUCUACUCUUGAUCUGUGCGAGUUCUACUCUUGAUCUGUGCGAGUUCUACUCUUGAUCUGUACGAGUUCUACUCUUAAUCUGUGCGAGUUCUACUCUUAAUCUGUGCGAGUUCUACUCUUAAUCUGUGCUAGUUCUACUCUUGAUCUGAGCGAGUUCUACUCUUGAUCUGUGCGAGUUCUACUCUUGAUCUGUACGAGUUCUACUCUUAAUCUGUACGAGUUCUACUCUUAAUCUGUGCGAGUUCUACUCUUGAUCUGUGCGAGUUCUACUCUUGAUCUGUGCGAGUUCUACUCUUGAUCUGUGCGAGUUCUACUCUUGAUCUGUGCGAGUUCUACUCUUGAUCUGUGCGAGUUCUACUCUUGAUCUGUGCUAGUUCUACUCUUGAUCUGUGCUAGUUCUACUCUUCAUCCGUGCGAGUUCUACUCUUCAUCCGUGCGAGUUCUACUCUUCAUCCGUGCGAGUUCUACUCUUCAUCCGUGCGAGUUCUACUCAUCAUUCGUGCGAGUUCUACUCUUCAUCCGUGCGAGUUCUACUCUUCAUCCGUGCAAGUUCUACACUUCAUCUUUGCGAGUUCUACGCUUCAUCUUUGCAAGUUCUACGCUUCAUCUUUGCGAGUUCUACUUUUCAUCUUUGCAAGUUCUACUCUAUCUAUGCAGUGUACACUAACUGUGCAGCUCUACACUACAUCAUGCAGAACUUGUACACUGUCACAUCUAAGAAGUUCUACAUCUGUGCUUGUUAUGCACUUCUGUGUGCGUUGUAAAUCUUUUAAGAUUAAAAUCUUCGCGAGUUGUACACUUUGUCUGUUUGAGUAUUGCCAGAUGCUGAGGAGCAUGGCAGAGGGUAAUGUGCUAGUAACCUCUUCCCUCUACACUUGUAA
Asterias rubens (European starfish) is the source of this 2176-nucleotide RNA transcript. RefSeq lists it as uncharacterized. NCBI's taxonomy places the organism in Eukaryota, Metazoa, Echinodermata, Asteroidea, Forcipulatida, Asteriidae. The transcript has 6 exons. The record is from RefSeq and is a predicted model, not a curated record.